ACCCGCUUAAUCCGCCUCUAGGUAGAGCGUUGGACUUCUAAUCCAAAGGUCGUGGGUUCGAAUCCCACCUGGGAUU
Molecule: non-coding RNA, 76 nt
Organism: Trichonephila clavata
Lineage: Eukaryota; Metazoa; Arthropoda; Arachnida; Araneae; Nephilidae
Source: the annotation of a GenBank genome assembly